RNAcentral lists this transfer RNA (79 nucleotides) under Nitrosomonadaceae bacterium. Its description in RNAcentral is "tRNA-Asp". It matches the Rfam family "tRNA". Rfam says of the family: Transfer RNA (tRNA) molecules are approximately 80 nucleotides in length. Their secondary structure includes four short double-helical elements and three loops (D, anti-codon, and T loops). Lineage: Bacteria; Pseudomonadati; Pseudomonadota; Betaproteobacteria; Nitrosomonadales; Nitrosomonadaceae. The record is from RNAcentral.
GGGGCGUUGGGCUAGCGGCUUAGGCCACCUCCCUGUCACGGAGGAUACUUCAUGGGUUCGAAUCCCAUACGCCCCGCCA